RNAcentral lists this ribosomal RNA (497 nucleotides) under uncultured bacterium. Its description in RNAcentral is "partial 16S ribosomal RNA". It matches the Rfam family "Bacterial small subunit ribosomal RNA", at positions 28 to 507 of the family's 1533-position model. The record is from RNAcentral.
GAUGAACGCUGGCGGCGUGCCUAAUACAUGCAAGUCGAGCGAACGGACGAGAAGCUUGCUUCUCUGAUGUUAGCGGCGGACGGGUGAGUAACACGUGGACAACCUACCUAUAAGACUGGGAUAACUUCGGGAAACCGGAGCUAAUACCGGAUAAUAUUUUGAACUGCAUGGUUCAAAAGUGAAAGACGGUCUUUCUGUCACUUAUAGAUGGAUCCGCGCUGCAUUAGCUAGUUGGUAAGGUAACGGCUUACCAAGGCAACGAUGCAUAGCCGACCUGAGAGGGUGAUCGACCAGACUGGAACUGAGACACGGUCCAGACUCCUACGGGAGGCAGCAGUAGGGAAUCUUCCGCGAUGGGCGAAAGCCUGACGGAGCAGCGCCGCGUGAGUGAUGAAGGUCUACGGAUCCUAAAACUCUGUUAUUAGGGAAGAACAUAUGUGUAAGUAACUGUGCACAUCUUGACGGUACCUAAUCAGAAAGCCACGGCUAACUACGUG